ACUUUCCAAAUCUAAAAUACAUUAUCUAUGUCGUCUUACGUACCUUUUGUCUUUGCAACUCACUUUUUGCACACCAUCCCCUCUCCUCCUUUAAUGGCAAUAAUUAGUCUUUUGCCGUCAAAAAAAUCUUUGAAUUAACAUAAAAUUUCAGUUAUUUUCUGAUUAAGUAAAUCAAAGGUACUGGACAGAAUUAGAACAUUCGGUUAAUAACCGAACCGAAUCCAUAUUUCGGUUAUAACCGAAAACCGAAUUUAGACUGUUUAGAAUAUCCGAACAACUACCCGAAUUACAUGAUAACCGAACUAAUUAUUCGGUUAUUCGGUUAAUAACCGAAUUUAACAGGUGAGCUCCAAUAGUUUGUUGCAAGCAAUAAAUUGGUUAGGUUAGUAUAUAAGCCAUUGCUAGUUCCCCAAUUUUGCUUCUAAUUCGAAUAUGACUUUCAAAUACCCAUAAUUAAUUCCAUCUCAGGUCAUAUGCCAAUAAUUAAACCAUUUGCUCCUCCUUUCUAAAUUCCAACCCAAAAUAGUGGAAGAUAAAAGAGAUGUACAGGAACAACAUUAUAUUACAAUCUGCAACUCAUGAGAUGCUAUUUCAGUUUACCAAACUUCUUCCCUUUAUUGUUAUGCUCUACCCUGGGGCCUGGAACAUCAGUGAAACACAUUCUUUUCAUCUAUAUUCGCCACUAGUUGUACAAGAAGAAUUCUAAUUAUAAAUUUUUUAAGUAAAGAAGCAAAGACUAGAGUAUUUGCAGGUACAAACCGUAUCGUAGCUCCGAAUCUCGUAGCCUUAGUCGUCGGAAAAGGGGCCGAAUCUCGUAGCUCCGAACUGAGUUUGAGAGAGAGAUGAAGAGUUUGACAGAUCUGAGUUUGACAGAUCUGAGUUUGAGAGAUCUCGUAUCUCCGACCCUCUUCGUUGCCUUAGUCGUCGGAAAAGGGGCUGAAUCUCGUAGCUCCGAACUGAGUUUGAGAGAGAGAGAUGAAGAGUUUGAGAGAUCUGAGUUUGACAGAUCUGAGUUUGAGAGAUCUCGUAGCUCCGACCCUCUUCGUCGCCUUAGUCGUCGGUGUGACAGAUCUGAGUUUGAGAGAGACAGGGUCGUGCCUGAAGAGAGGUGUGACGGAUCUGAGUUUGAGACUUGAGAAGGGUUUGAGAGAAUUCAAGAUCUGAGUCUGGGGCUAUCGGGAUUCGGGAGUGAGUAGUGCUUUUGUUCGGUUUAGUAAAUAUUUCGACUUUGCUUAGCUUGUUCGGUUAUUCGGUUUAUCCGAACAAAAAUAAAACUUGUAAAACCUAACCGAAAAUCGUAAUAAAUUUCGGGUAUAACUGAAAUGUUAAAAAAAAUUGAAUUAUCAGAAAAUUUUGGUUAAAUUAUUUUGGUUCGGUUCGGUUAUUCUGUUAUGCCCAUAAUUUUUUGCUCAAUCCUAGACAGAAUCCAAGGUAUUGAAAAUUUCAAAUUUGAAGGAACAAAACAAUUUGAAAGAUUAAGGAAGAAGGAGAGAUGAGAGAUAACAAACGGACCCGUUCUUAAAAAUUCUCGUUUAAUACUAUCAUUUAACUAUGCAUUCAAUCACUUCCACUUUAUGAGAAGUUGAAAAUUAUUAAUACAAGUGAGAGAAUUUCUU
Molecule: long non-coding RNA, 1616 nt
Filed under: Panax ginseng (ginseng)
Lineage: Eukaryota; Viridiplantae; Streptophyta; Magnoliopsida; Apiales; Araliaceae
Description: long non-coding RNA (PGIN_LNC008301)
Source: RNAcentral